UACACGCUGUGACUAGCAUAUCAAUAAGCGGAGGAAAAGGAAACUAACAAGGAUUCCCCUAGUAACGGCGAGUGAAGCGGGAAGAGCUCAAAUUUGAAAUCUUAAAGGGUUUCCCUUUACGAAUUGUAGUUUAAAGAAGUGUUUUCUGUUGAGGUUUUGGUAAAAGUUCUUUGGAAUAGGACAUCAUAGAGGGUGAGAACCCCGUAUUUGACCUUUACUUUCAACUUUGUGAUACACUUUCAAAGAGUCGGAUUGUUUGGGAAUGCAGUCCAAAAUGGGUGGUAAAUUUCAUCUAAAGCUAAAUAUUGGCGAGAGACCGAUAGCGAACAAGUACCGCUGAGGGAAAGAUGAAAAGAACUUUGAAAAGAGAGUUAAACAGUACGUGAAAUUGUCAAAAGGGAAGCGUUUGACACCAGUGUUGUUUUUCUGAAAAUCAAUUAAAGAACUGUUUAUGCUAAGUUGUUUAGACUUUAUCAGCUAUCUGUUUAGUUUUGAGCUUUUCUUUAAUGCACUUUUCAGUUAACAAGUCAACAUCAAUUUCUUUUGCUGUAAAAAAGCUUGAGGAAGGUGGCUUGAGAUUCGUCUUAAGUGUUUAUAGCCUCUUGCCUAUGCAGUCGGAGAGAUUGAGGUCUGCAGCGUAGAUCCUUCGGGGCUAAAUGCAUUUGUGCUAAGUUAUAGCAUUUUAUAGACAACUUGUUGACUAUGAUUUGUCUUGUAGCUUACUCGCUUAUGUUAUUUUACCUACGCUUAGGAUGUUGACGCGCGUGUGUGCGUG
This 775-nucleotide ribosomal RNA is filed under the name uncultured Neocallimastigales. RNAcentral's name for it is "partial large subunit ribosomal RNA". It matches the Rfam family "Eukaryotic large subunit ribosomal RNA", at positions 22 to 639 of the family's 3401-position model. The record is from RNAcentral. Lineage: Eukaryota; Fungi; Neocallimastigomycota; Neocallimastigomycetes; Neocallimastigales.